RNAcentral lists this ribosomal RNA (215 nucleotides) under uncultured Desulfocapsa sp. Its description in RNAcentral is "partial 16S ribosomal RNA". It matches the Rfam family "Bacterial small subunit ribosomal RNA", at positions 1168 to 1382 of the family's 1533-position model. The record is from RNAcentral. Lineage: Bacteria; Pseudomonadati; Thermodesulfobacteriota; Desulfobulbia; Desulfobulbales; Desulfocapsaceae.
AGAAGUCGGGAUGACGUCAAGUCCUCAUGGCCUUUAUGACCAGGGCUACACACGUACUACAAUGGCCGGUACAAAGGGCAGCGACACAGCGAUGUGAAGCGAAUCCCGAAAAAGCCGGUCUCAGUCCGGAUUGGAGUCUGCAACUCGACUCCAUGAAGUUGGAAUCGCUAGUAAUCGCGGAUCAGCACGCCGCGGUGAAUACGUUCCCGGGCCUU